GAGCGAGGUCUUCGGGCCUAGCGGCGGACGGGUUAGUAACGCGUGGGAACGUGCCCUUCACUACGGAAUAGUCCCGGGAAACUGGGUUUAAUACCGUAUACGCCCUUCGGGGGAAAGAAUUUCGGUGAAGGAUCGGCCCGCGUCUGAUUAGGUAGUUGGUGGGGUAAUGGCCUACCAAGCCUACGAUCAGUAGCUGGUUUUAGAGGAUGAUCAGCAACACUGGGACUGAGACACGGCCCAGACUCCUACGGGAGGCAGCAGUGGGGAAUCUUAGACAAUGGGCGCAAGCCUGAUCUAGCCAUGCCGCGUGAGUGAUGAAGGCCUUAGGGUCGUAAAGCUCUUUCGCUGGGGAAGAUAAUGACGGUACCCAGUAAAGAAACCCCGGCUAACUCCGUGCCAGCAGCCGCGGUAAUACGGAGGGGGUUAGCGUUGUUCGGAAUUACUGGGCGUAAAGCGCGCGUAGGCGGACUGUUAAGUCGGGGGUGAAAUCCCGGGGCUCAACCCCGGAACGGCCUUCGAUACUGGCAGUCUGGAGUUCGAGAGAGGUGAGUGGAAUUCCGAGUGUAGAGGUGAAAUUCGUAGAUAUUCGGAGGAACACCAGUGGCGAAGGCGGCUCACUGGCUCGAUACUGACGCUGAGGUGCGA
This 645-nucleotide ribosomal RNA is filed under the name Roseivivax lentus. RNAcentral describes it as "bacterial SSU rRNA". It matches the Rfam family "Bacterial small subunit ribosomal RNA", at positions 64 to 756 of the family's 1533-position model. The record is from RNAcentral. Lineage: Bacteria; Pseudomonadati; Pseudomonadota; Alphaproteobacteria; Rhodobacterales; Roseobacteraceae.